UUAAGCGACUAAGCGUACACGGUGGAUGCCCUGGCAGUCAGAGGCGAUGAAGGACGUGCUAAUCUGCGAAAAGCGUCGGUAAGGUGAUAUGAACCGUUAUAACCGGCGAUGUCCGAAUGGGGAAACCCAGUGUGAUUCGUCACACUAUCGUUAACUGAAUACAUAGGUUAACGAGGCGAACCGGGGGAACUGAAACAUCUAAGUACCCCGAGGAAAAGAAAUCAACCGAGAUUCCCCAGUAGCGGCGAGCGAACGGGGAGCAGCCCAGAGUCUGAAUCAGCUUGUGUGUUAGUGGAACGGUCUGGAAAGUCCGACGGUACAGGGUGAUAGUCCCGUACACCAAAAUGCACAGGCUGUGAACUCGAAGAGUAGGGCGGGACACGUGGUAUCCUGUCUGAAUAUGGGGGGGACCAUCCUCCAAGGCUAAAUACUCCUGACUGACCGAUAGUGAACCCAGUACCGUGAGGGAAAGGCGAAAAGAACCCCGGCGAGGGGAGUGAAAAAGAACCUGAAACCGUGUACGUACAAGCAGUGGGAGCACCUUCGGGUGUGACUGGCGUACCUUUUGUAUAAUGGGUCAGCGACUUAUAUUCUGUAGCAAGGUUAACCGUAUAGGGGAGCCGCAGGGAAACGAGUCUUAACUGGCGUUAAGUUGCAGGUAUAGACCCGAAACCCGGGUGAUCUAGCCAUGGGCAGGUUGAAGGUUGGGGUAACACUAAACUGGAGGACCGAACCGAACUCAAUGUUGAAAAAAAUUAGCGGAUGACUUGUGGCUGGGGGGUGAAAGGCCAAUCAAACCGGGAGAUAGCUGGUUCUCCCGAAAUGCAAGUAUUUAGGUAGCGCCUCGUGAAUUCAUCUUCCGGGGGUAGAGCACUGUUUCGGCUAGGGGUGUCAUCCCGACUUACCAACCCGAUGCAAACUACGAAUACCAAAGAAUGUUAUUCACGGGAGACACACGGCGGGUGCUAACGUCCGUCGUGAAGAGGGAAACAACCCAGACCGCCAGCUAAGGUCCCAAAGUCAUGGUUAAGUGGGAAACGAUGUGGGAAGGCACAGACAGCCAGGAUGUUGGCUUAGAAGCAGCCAUCAUUUAAAGAAAGCGUAAUAGCUCACUGGUCGAGUCGGCCUGCGCGGAAGAUGUAACGGGGCUAAACCAUGCACCGAAGCUGCGGCAGCGACACUAUGUGUUGUUGGGUAGGGGAGCGUUCUGUAAGCCUGCGAAGGUGUGCUGUGAGGCAUGCUGGAGGUAUCAGAAGUGCGAAUGCUGACAUAAGUAACGAUAAAGCGGGUGAAAAGCCCGCUCGCCGGAAGACCAAGGGUUCCUGUCCAACGUUAAUCGGGGCAGGGUGAGUCGACCCCUAAGGCGAGGCCGAAAGGCGUAGUCGAUGGGAAAACAGGUUAAUAUUCCUGUACUUGGUGUUACUGCGAAGGGGGGACGGAGAAGGCUAUGUUAGCCGGGCGACGGUUGUCCCGGUUUAAGCAUGUAGGCUGGUUGUCCAGGCAAAUCCGGAUAAUCAAGGCUGAGGUGUGAUGACGAGGCACUACGGUGCUGAAGUAACAAAUGCCCUGCUUCCAGGAAAAGCCUCUAAGCAUCAGGUAACAUUAAAUCGUACCCCAAACCGACACAGGUGGUCAGGUAGAGAAUACCAAGGCGCUUGAGAGAACUCGGGUGAAGGAACUAGGCAAAAUGGUGCCGUAACUUCGGGAGAAGGCACGCUGGUGUGUAGGUGAAGCCCCUGCGGGUGGAGCUGAGACCAGUCGAAGAUACCAGCUGGCUGCAACUGUUUAUUAAAAACACAGCACUGUGCAAAACACGAAAGUGGACGUAUACGGUGUGACGCCUGCCCGGUGCCGGAAGGUUAAUUGAUGGGGUUAUCCGUAAGGAGAAGCUCUUGAUCGAAGCCCCGGUAAACGGCGGCCGUAAACCUAUAACGGUCCUAAGGUAGCGAAAUUCCUUGUCGGGUAAGUUCCGACCUGCACGAAUGGCGUAAUGAUGGCCAGGCUGUC
RNAcentral lists this ribosomal RNA (2007 nucleotides) under Klebsiella pneumoniae. RNAcentral's name for it is "bacterial LSU rRNA". It matches the Rfam family "Bacterial large subunit ribosomal RNA", at positions 1 to 2020 of the family's 2925-position model. The record is from RNAcentral. Lineage: Bacteria; Pseudomonadati; Pseudomonadota; Gammaproteobacteria; Enterobacterales; Enterobacteriaceae.